GGAUUAUUAAGCCAUGCAUGUCUAAGUAAAAGCAAAUUUUUACAGCGAAACUGCGAAUGGCUCAUUAAAUCAGUUAUGAUCUACAUGACAAAUACUUUACUACUGGAUAACCGUGGUAAUUCUAGAGCUAAUACAUGCAGAAAAGGCCUGACUUCGGGAGGGCUGCACUUAUUAGAUCAAAACCAUCCUGGGUAAAACCAGUUCUAUGGUGAUUCAUAAUAAUUAAGCUGAUCGCAUGGCCUUGCGCCGGCGACGGUACAUUCGAUUUUCUGCCCUAUCAGGCUGUUGAUUGUAAGGUAGUGGCUUACAAUGGCGACCACGGGUAACGGGGAAUUAGGGUUCGAUUCCGAAGAGGGAGCCUGAGAAACGGCUACCACAUCCAAGGAAGGCAGCAGGCGCGCAAAUUACCCAAUCCCAACUCGGGGAGGUAGUGACAAUAAAUAACAAUGCAGGGCCUUCUGGCCUUGCAAUUGGAAUGAGUACAAUUUAAAUCCCUUAACGAGGAUCAAUUGGAGGGCAAGUCUGGUGCCAGCAGCCGCGGUAAUUCCAGCUCCAAAAGCGUAUAUUAAAGUUGUUGCAGUUAAAACGUCCGUAGUCGAAUUUACGCCUGGUGGCUCGGCCGCUGGUCCUUCAUUGGGCCAGAUUGGCUGUAGUCCCGGCGAUAAAGCUUGGAUCAGGUAGGGUUGGUUUCGGCCGGCUCUGCUCUAUGCCCAAGCGUAUUACCAUGAGCAAAUCAGAAUGCUCAAAGUAGGCCUAAGCGCCUGAAUGUGUUAGCAUGGAAUAAUGAAAUAGGACUCGAGUCUUGUUUUGUUGGUUUACUUGACAUUGAGAAAUGAUGAAUAGGAACGGUUGGGGGCAUUUGUAUUUGGCCGCUAGAGGUGAAAUUCUUGGAUUGGCCGAAGACAAACUACUGCGAAAGCAUUUGACCCAGGACGUUUUCAUUGAUCAGGGACUAAAGUUGAGGGAUCGAAGACGAUUAGAUACCGUCGUAGUCUUAACCACAAACUAUGCCGACUAGCGAUUGGGCCUUGACCUUUGGUCAGGUUCAGCAGCUUAGCGAAAGUAAAGUCUUUGGGUUCUGGGGGGAGUAUGGGACGCAAGGCUGAAACUUAAAGGAAUUGACGGAAGGGCACCACCAGGAGUGGAGCCUGCGGCU
Molecule: ribosomal RNA, 1156 nt
Filed under: Absidia glauca
Lineage: Eukaryota; Fungi; Mucoromycota; Mucoromycetes; Mucorales; Cunninghamellaceae
Description: SSU rRNA
Rfam family: Eukaryotic small subunit ribosomal RNA
Source: RNAcentral